This 467-nucleotide ribosomal RNA is filed under the name uncultured bacterium. Its description in RNAcentral is "partial 16S ribosomal RNA". It matches the Rfam family "Bacterial small subunit ribosomal RNA", at positions 29 to 507 of the family's 1533-position model. The record is from RNAcentral.
ACGAACGCUGGCGGCGUGCUUAACCCAUGCAAGUCGAACGGUGAAGCUCCAGCUUGCUGGAGUGGAUCAGUGGCGAACGGGUGAGUAACACGUGAGCAACCUGCCCCUGACUCUGGAAUAAGCGCUGGAAACGGCGUCUAAUACUGGAUACGAGAAGGGUCCGCAUGGGCACUUUCUGGAAAGUUUUUCGGUUGGGGAUGGGCUCGCGGCCUAUCAGCUUGUUGGUGAGGUAAUGGCUCACCAAGGCGACGACGGGUAGCCGGCCUGAGAGGGCGACCGGCCACACUGGGACUGAGACACGGCCCAGACUCCUACGGGAGGCAGCAGUGGGGAAUAUUGCACAAUGGGCGAAAGCCUGACGCAGCGACGCCGCGUGAGGGAUGACGGCCUUCGGGUUGUAAACCUCUUUCAGCAGGGAAGAAGCGAAAGUGACGGUACCUGCAGAAGAAGCACCGGCUAACUACGUG